GCCAUCGCACCUUGGUGGCGACUCAAAGGGGUUAUGUGGGAGCGAGACAGAGAUUUACCCAGGUUCGCCCCCUCGUGAGGAGGUAAAAGCCUACGUCCUGCUUUGUGUUGUAUUGAUGGUGUUUCGAUUACAAGGAGGGCGUAACUCGCCUAACCUAGCACUCGAUGAUUUCUAACCUACCCUCUCCUUCCCUGGGACUCGCCUUUGUAUACAGGUCGAGUCCUUAGGGUUUACAAGGGUCCUUUCCUUUUCACAAAUCGUGACUCUUAAGAUCUCUAAGUCGCCAUCUUUCCAAGACUUGGAGACCUCUACUAUGGACUCCUCCCGAAGGUCUUGAACCGCCAUACGACUUCCGGCUUUACUGGGCCAAAGCCAGAACCACUUGGAGAUGAGUCGCCAGCUUUGGUGACCCGGCCCAACUAGGGCGGGUUACCCAAUGGAUAAUAUCCCCAACAUUAGGCCCUAGAUUGACUUGAAUUUCUUUCACGCCAAUAUCCUCACUCAGUUAGGGGCGAUUCAUCUUCACUCUUCUUAUGCACCGUACACUUAAACCGCCAUCUGUUGCGGAAAAACUCAAGUCGCCAAAACCACUUCUUGUUGGCGCCUUCUUAUCCCUUGAAUCUUGGAAGAGAUGAUGACGUAAUCUCCAACGGAUCCUUCGGUAUCGUUAUCCCAAAAAUUUCGGGGCGCCAUCAUGGUG
RNAcentral lists this long non-coding RNA (700 nucleotides) under Hordeum vulgare. RNAcentral describes it as "long non-coding RNA (HVUL_LNC016250)". Lineage: Eukaryota; Viridiplantae; Streptophyta; Magnoliopsida; Poales; Poaceae. The record is from RNAcentral.